CAGUUUGCCUUGGAGAAGGCAAGUGGGAAGGCUUGGGAAACGCUGCUGCGUCCUGGCAGGGACACUGCGUUUCUUUCAGACUUUGAAGAUCUGUCGUUUUAGAAAAGUGGCUGCCUCUGCCCCCAGCCCUGUGGUUACUGUCCUGUAGUGUGACUGUCAGGAGGUGUUUCUCGGUCCUUCAUUGCGAGAAUGUAGACGCCGGUUGCACAUUCUGUUGUCUUGGAAGAAACUGCAGUGCUUGGCUGGAAAAUAAGCUGCUCGGGACUCCACUGAGAAGCCAGAGUGAAGCUCAGAGAUGGAAAAUUUGGGCAGUUGUCUGGACAUUAGGAGUUGAGUCAUCUCCUACCCAUGAGAAACAAGCCUGUGGGAGGACUGAUAUUAUCACUUCUGUCAUCAAGAAAUAAGGCCGUGGGCAUCCUGAAUAUAUGGCAUGUAUUAAUCGAACUGCGAAAAUGAAACGCAGCCAGUGAUGACUGCUGGAAGUUGGCCAAUGUCCUGUUGUCAUGGUGCCCUCAGCCUAGGGACUGGCCUAUGGCUCACUGGACCUGUCUCCCCCUCUCCACCUCCCAUCAGCACCUGGACCUGGUGCACGUGGUCUACCUCAUGUCCAGCAUUUUCCACAGUACCUGACUGCUGUCCCCACCCCUUGUUGUUGUGUGGUGAACUUGUCCCUAUAUUGGCAAGUUACUUAAUUCCUUGGUGUCCUGCCUUCCUCAUUGUAAAAUGCGAAUAGUCAUAGCACGAAUGUCAUGAGUUCUCGUGAAGAUUUUAUGAUUAGCACACAUGUUACAAGGAGACACGAUAACUGUUAUGUACAUACCCAUUCAUUCAGAAAUAUAACAGAAAGCUUAGUGUCUCCAUCUGGGUCCCUCUGCCCCGUGGGAAUCCAUAAAGAAUUGAUUCUCAUCCCCCGGAAAUGAGAUCCCUCUUGCGUCAUCAAUUACAUGGCAUGUUCUGCA
This is a long non-coding RNA of Piliocolobus tephrosceles (Ugandan red Colobus), 959 nucleotides long. RefSeq lists it as uncharacterized. The transcript has 2 exons. The record is from RefSeq and is a predicted model, not a curated record. Lineage: Eukaryota; Metazoa; Chordata; Mammalia; Primates; Cercopithecidae.